UUAAAUUGAAGAGUUUGAUCAUGGCUCAGAUUGAACGCUGGCGGCAGGCCUAACACAUGCAAGUCGAACGGUAACAGAAAGCAGCUUGCUGCUUUGCUGACGAGUGGCGGACGGGUGAGUAAUGUCUGGGAAACUGCCUGAUGGAGGGGGAUAACUACUGGAAACGGUAGCUAAUACCGCAUAACGUCGCAAGACCAAAGAGGGGGACCUUCGGGCCUCUUGCCAUCGGAUGUGCCCAGAUGGGAUUAGCUUGUUGGUGGGGUAACGGC
RNAcentral lists this ribosomal RNA (269 nucleotides) under Escherichia coli. RNAcentral's name for it is "partial 16S ribosomal RNA". It matches the Rfam family "Bacterial small subunit ribosomal RNA", at positions 1 to 264 of the family's 1533-position model. The record is from RNAcentral. Lineage: Bacteria; Pseudomonadati; Pseudomonadota; Gammaproteobacteria; Enterobacterales; Enterobacteriaceae.